Molecule: ribosomal RNA, 497 nt
Filed under: uncultured bacterium
Lineage: Bacteria
Description: partial 16S ribosomal RNA
Rfam family: Bacterial small subunit ribosomal RNA
Source: RNAcentral
GACGAACGCUGGCGGCGUGCCUAAUACAUGCAAGUAGAACGCUGAAGCGAGGAGCUUGCUCUUCUUGGAUGAGUUGCGAACGGGUGAGUAACGCGUAGGUAACCUGCCUUGUAGCGGGGGAUAACUAUUGGAAACGAUAGCUAAUACCGCAUAACAAUGGAUGACACAUGUCAUUUAUUUGAAAGGGGCAAUUGCUCCACUACAAGAUGGACCUGCGUUGUAUUAGCUAGUAGGUGAGGUAAUGGCUCACCUAGGCGACGAUACAUAGCCGACCUGAGAGGGUGAUCGGCCACACUGGGACUGAGACACGGCCCAGACUCCUACGGGAGGCAGCAGUAGGGAAUCUUCGGAAAUGGGGGCAACCCUGACCGAGCAACGCCGCGUGAGUGAAGAAGGGUUUCGGAUCGUAAAGCUCUGUUGUAAGUCAAGAACGGGUGUGAGAGUGGAAAGUUCACACUGUGACGGUAGCUUACCAGAAAGGGACGGCUAACUACGUG